CCGGUGAGUAACACGUAUCCAACCUGCCGUCUACUCUUGGACAGCCUUCUGAAAGGAAGAUUAAUACAAGAUGGCAUCAUGAGUUCACAUGUUCACAUGAUUAAAGGUAUUCCGGUAGACGAUGGGGAUGCGUUCCAUUAGAUAGUAGGCGGGGUAACGGCCCACCUAGUCUUCGAUGGAUAGGGGUUCUGAGAGGAAGGUCCCUCACAUUGGAACUGAGACACGGUCCAA
RNAcentral lists this ribosomal RNA (231 nucleotides) under uncultured bacterium. Its description in RNAcentral is "partial 16S ribosomal RNA". It matches the Rfam family "Bacterial small subunit ribosomal RNA", at positions 105 to 334 of the family's 1533-position model. The record is from RNAcentral.